AUGUUAAAGACCCAUACCCUCAGCCAGAGGCUCACAGGAUCAGCUUUUGACAAUAUCAUUUUUAGGACGUGCGUAACAAUUCAUCAGGUAUUCAGUUUCAAGGAUCUCACUCAGAGCUGGCCCUCUGUGAAUGUUGCUGAUAGGUGCCUGACUGCACAGAGCUGAUGGUGACAAAGGUAAACACCACAUUAAACACACACACACACACACACACACGGAGAGAUCAGACUUUUACUGGAGCCAAAUCUUCCCUAUGGUGGAAUAUACCUGCUGUAUUUCCAUUGAAAAUGCAACAUGUUGGUUGGUGUGAAAACUGAUGUCAGGAAAUGCCCCCAAGAGAACAAAGCAUGUAUUAGGUGAUAAUGGAUGUUAUUACUGGAAGCAACAUUUGUCUCCUCGUUUUUUUUUUUUUUUUUUUUUUCCUUCCUGACUCUCAUUCAACCAUAGUAAAUUUUAAUAUGUGUGUCAGGUUUCCCGCAAUUUAUAUAAAAUGAAACUCUUUGGAAAAGAAAACAC
This 516-nucleotide long non-coding RNA is filed under the name Sus scrofa (pig). Its description in RNAcentral is "lncRNA (ENSSSCG00070004226.1)". The record is from RNAcentral. Lineage: Eukaryota; Metazoa; Chordata; Mammalia; Artiodactyla; Suidae.